AUGAACGCUAGCGACAGGCCUAACACAUGCAAGUCGAGGGGCAGCGCGGGAGAAGCUUGCUUUCCUGGCGGCGACCGGCGCACGGGUGCGUAACAGGUGUGCAAUCUGUCCAUAGUCGGGGAAUAGCCCAGCGAAAGUUGGAUUAAUGCUCCAUGUGAGCGAGUGCCGCAUGACACACGCUUGAAACGUAAGGACUAUGGGUGAGCACGCUUCUGAUUAGAUAGUUGGUGAGGUAACGGCUCACCAAGUCGACGAUCAGUAGGGGUUCUGAGAGGAAGGUCCCCCACAUUGGAACUGAGACACGGUCCAAACUCCUACGGGAGGCAGCAGUGAGGAAUAUUGGUCAAUGGGCGAGAGCCUGAACCAGCCAAGUCGCGUGAAAGGAUGAAGGUUCUAUGGAUUGUAAACUUCUUUUGUCCGAGGGUAAAAAAGGCCACGUGUGGCUUCUUGCAAGUAUCGGACGAAUAAGCAUCGGCUAACUCCGUGCCAGCAGCCGC
RNAcentral lists this ribosomal RNA (497 nucleotides) under uncultured bacterium. RNAcentral's name for it is "bacterial SSU rRNA". It matches the Rfam family "Bacterial small subunit ribosomal RNA", at positions 29 to 518 of the family's 1533-position model. The record is from RNAcentral.